RNAcentral lists this unclassified non-coding RNA (317 nucleotides) under uncultured fungus. RNAcentral's name for it is "partial contains small subunit ribosomal RNA, internal transcribed spacer 1, and 5.8S ribosomal RNA". The stretch from base 1 to 73 matches the Rfam family "Eukaryotic small subunit ribosomal RNA", at positions 1759 to 1831 of the family's 1831-position model. Lineage: Eukaryota; Fungi. The record is from RNAcentral.
GCAAACUUGGUCAUUUAGAGGAAGUAAAAGUCGUAACAAGGUUUCCGUAGGUGAACCUGCGGAAGGAUCAUUAACGAGAGAAUGGGGUGCCCCCGGGUCCCCGAACUCCCAACCCUUUGCGAACCAAACUUUUGUUGCUUUGGCGGGGCGUGACCCUUAGGGCCCCGUUGGCUUCGGCUGGCGAGUCCCCGCCGGAGAAUCUUUAAAACCUUGCUUUUGAACCGUGAAACGUCUGAGCAUUCUUUGCAAAAAAAAUAAAUAGCGAAAAAACUUUCAACAACGGAUCUCUUGGUUCUGGCAUCGAUGAAGAACGCAGC